UUUUUUUUUUUUAAAUCUUAUCAUAGAUAAUGGCUGGCAUAGUCUAUGCCUUGAUAUCACAUCCAGCACCAUGGAGUUGCUAUGCUUGCUAGUGUUUUUUUAACAAACUCAAGUUUUGUAUUUAUUACCUCUAUGCUUUUAGAUUGAUGAAGGAUCUGAAGAAUAUUUCCUAAUUUUGACUGGCAUUUAGAAUAUUGUUUUGAUCAAGUCUUGAAAAAUGAUGAAUCUUGAUCUUCUCUAUUUCUUACUUCUCUAUAUUAGGCACUUGUCACUAUUCGCUGAAUAGCCAUUGUUUUCUUUGCUGUUAAUGCUUUUUAGUUUUUCAUUUUCUGUUAAGUAUCUAGGCACUAGCCACUAAUUGACCUUGUUUUCCCUUAUCUUUGUAUAUGAUGUCUGAAUUCUUUUCCCUUUUGAAUAUAUCAGAGGCAUAGAGAACCACCAAAAUU
Molecule: unclassified non-coding RNA, 446 nt
Filed under: Hevea brasiliensis (rubber tree)
Lineage: Eukaryota; Viridiplantae; Streptophyta; Magnoliopsida; Malpighiales; Euphorbiaceae
Source: RNAcentral